This 631-nucleotide ribosomal RNA is filed under the name uncultured fungus. Its description in RNAcentral is "eukaryotic LSU rRNA". It matches the Rfam family "Eukaryotic large subunit ribosomal RNA", at positions 184 to 927 of the family's 3401-position model. The record is from RNAcentral. Lineage: Eukaryota; Fungi.
AGUCGAUUGGAAAAUCGCAUCAGAGAGGGUGAAAAUCCCGUUCGACAUUGGAUCCGCAGUCGCGUUUGAGCCGUCGUCUUCGAGUCGGGUUGCUUGGGAGUGCAGCCCUAAGUGGGUGGUAAAUUCCAUCUAAAACUAAAUAUGUGUGGGAGACCGAUAGCGAACAAGUACCGUGAGGGAAAGAUGAAAAGAACUUUGAAAAGAGAGUUAAAAGUACUUGAGAUUGUUUGGAUUGAAGGGAUGACGCCCAGUCGGUCAGGAUGGCUUGGCGGCGGGCUUGUUGCUCCCGGGGGUAGGUGGCUCUUCGGAGUGUUUUAGCCCCGAGAGCAAAGCUUGCCGGCGAGCGAGGUCGCGGAUAGAUCCUGACAAAAUGGUCGUCAUUCACCCGUCUUGAAACACGGACCAAGGAGUCUUACAUGUGUGCGAGUGUUAGUGUGACGAAGCAUUAUCGCGUAAUGAAAGUGAAUUUGUUCAAACGAGGGCGACUACGGUACGACCCGGAGCAUACAUGCAGGGACCCGAAAGAUGGUGAACUAUGCCUGGGCAGGAUGAAGCCAGGGGAAACUCUGGUGGAGGUCCGAAGCGAUACUGACGUGCAAAUCGUUCGUGUGAGCUGGGUAUAGGGGGCGAA